UUAAAUGGCUGCAGUAAUUUGACUGUACAAAGGUAGCAUAAUCAUUAGUUUUUUAAUUAAAAGCUUGAAUGAAAGGUUGGACGAAGUAAAAUCUGUCUCUUUAUAAUAAAAUUAGAAUUUAAUUUUUAAGUUAAAAAGCUUAAAUUUUUAUAAAAGACGAGAAGACCCUAUAGAGUUUAAUAAUUUUAAUAAAAUAAUUAAUUUAGAUUUAUUUAUUUUAUUUUUUUAUAAAUUAUUUUAUUGGGGUAAUAAUAAGAUUUAAAUAAUUCUUUUUUUUUAUAUCAUUAAUUUAUGAAAUAUUUAUGAUCCAUUAUUUUUAUGAUUAUAAGAUUAAAUUACCUUAGGGAUAACAGCGUAAUUUUUUUGGAAAGUUCUUAUUGAUAAAAAAGUUUGCGACCUCGAUGUUGGAUUAAAGAUUAAUUUAGGUGUAGAAGUUUAAAUUUUUGGUCUGUUCGACCAUUAAAUCUUUACAUGAUCUGAGUUCAAACCGGUGUAAACCAGGUCGGUUUCUAUCU
Molecule: ribosomal RNA, 515 nt
Filed under: Aphaenops victoriai
Lineage: Eukaryota; Metazoa; Arthropoda; Insecta; Coleoptera; Carabidae
Description: Geotrechus victoriai partial 16S ribosomal RNA
Rfam family: Bacterial large subunit ribosomal RNA (bases 346-504)
Source: RNAcentral